CCUCAGUACCAGAGACUGUUCCAGGUAGUUACCACAUCUUCAGUACCAGAGACUGUUCCAGGUAGGUACCACAUCUCCAACCCUCAGUACCAGAGACUGUUCCAGGUGGUUACCACAUACCCAACCCUCAGUACCAGAGACUGUUCCAGGUAGUUACCACAUCCUCAACCCUCAGUACCAGAGACUGUUCCAGGUAGUUACUACAUCCAAAGUACCAGAGACUGUUCCAGGUAGUUACCACAUCCCCAACCCUCAGUACCAGAGACUGUUCCAGGUAGUUACCACAUCCCCAACCCUCAGUACCAGAGACUGUUCCAGGUAGUUACCACAUCCCCAACCCUCAGUACCAGAGACUGUUCCAGGUAGUUACCACAUCCCCAACCCUCAGUACCAGAGACUGUUCCAGGUAGUUACCACAUCCUCAGUACCAGAGACUGUUCCAGGUAGUUACCACAUCCCCAACCCUCAGUACCAGAGACUGUUCCAGGUAGUUACCACAUCCCCAACCCUCAGUACCAGAGACUGUUCCAGGUAGUUACCACAUCCCCAACCCUCAGUACCAGAGACUGUUCCAGGUAGUUACUACAUCCCCAACCCUCAGUACCAGAGACUUUUCCAGGUAGUUACCACAUCCCCAACCCUCAGUACCAGAGACUGUUCCGUCUAGCUGUUCCUUUAGCUGUAUCUUUAUCUUCAUCCAAGUCGUUCCUUUAUCUUCACCCUGGCUGUACUUUUAUCUUCAGCCUGGCUGUCCUUUUAUCUUCAGCCUGGCUGUUCUUUUAUCUUCAGCCUGGCUGUUCCUUUAUCUUCAGCCUGGCUGUUCCUUUAUCUUCAGCCUGGC
Molecule: long non-coding RNA, 841 nt
Organism: Oncorhynchus keta (chum salmon)
Lineage: Eukaryota; Metazoa; Chordata; Actinopteri; Salmoniformes; Salmonidae
Exons: 4
Source: RefSeq, a predicted model, not a curated record